Molecule: long non-coding RNA, 2561 nt
Filed under: Linum usitatissimum (flax)
Lineage: Eukaryota; Viridiplantae; Streptophyta; Magnoliopsida; Malpighiales; Linaceae
Description: long non-coding RNA (LUSI_LNC007936)
Source: RNAcentral
AACCUGCAAAAUCAGGGUUGCUUGAUUAACUCUAUUGUGAUUCUUUUACCUUACUAUAUAUUCAACAAACCAUACCAGUGACUGAUGAGUUGGUGGUAUCCGGAAUCAUUCACUGCAACAUAGGCUUUAGCUAGUUGCCAAAUUGAGCCCUCAACUCCAGCUUCUGCUGGAGUGAAUACCUUGCUGACCCCACCGUGGCGAUUCCCCUGUGGAUGAGGGAGGCUUAGUUCAAUAGCCAAUGGCUUCAGUGUUCCAUCAUCUUGAAGAAAGAGAAUUGUUCUGGUGGCAUACGUCUUUGUAGUGGUUGAGUUUAUUUUCCUCAAGUAUAGCAUCAAUGCAUCAUGAUGAUCCAAUAUAAACAGUCUAUUUCUUGCAAUUGCCUGUGACAGAGAAGAGACAACUUUUGAUUAGGAAACUUUGUUAAAAGUUGACCUCAUAUUUGAAUAUGAAUAAAUAAAAAACCUAAGCAUGAUUGACAUACUUCAUCAACAGUGAGACCAUCCAUAUUAAGCUCUAUCUCCUCCUUCUUUAUAGUACUAUGCUGGUUUCCGUAUUCUUUAGGGUCUAGCUGGCUGGCUGGUGGAAACUCCUGCAGAACACAAAUAUCAUGUAAAAAAUCAGUCCAAUUUGGCAAUUUGAUUGCAGAGCAUAAAUGAGUUGUUAGUAGUUCGGAUUUGUACUCUCAGGCGACUGAUGAUGACAGGAUUGACUCCAGCGAGCAUCUCUCGAGCAAACUCUUCAUCAGUCCUCCAAGCAGACUUAUCCUCUGGAACCAUACCAUGGUAACCUCAGACUUAACAUCUCUACUGUAGAAUUAUAUGCAUUAUUGUAAGCUAUUGAUGCUGUAUCUAAAAUAUAGAAUUUCCUUUGCAUACCUUUGAUUACAUCAGGCGUAGGGAACUUGAGAAAUCUCUCACCAUCGUUGCGAACAAGUUCUUUCAGCAGUUCCCAUGGUAUGUUAUUUCUUAUCUUGCUGAUCUUGGCUUUACUUGGCAAUUUGAUGCCCCCUUCGUAGAGGUUGAAAACAUCCUCGAAAGAGUCAAACUCAUUGAUUGUCUUGUCAAAUAAAGAGUAUAUCUCCGGGACAAGUACUUGGACGAUGGACUUAAGACCAUAUGCCAGAAAGUCUGAGAACUUCACAUGUCCAAACCGUUCAUCCCUUGGCACAUAGAUAUCUAGGCUCAGAAGAGGCAAUCUGCUCUCUGAAUUGGGAUCUGUUGUGAACAUGAAAAAGAAACUGUCGUCAAAUUUCUGUUUCACUUAUUGUAUAUCAAGGUGUCCAGUACUAGAACAUAGAUGUGUCACCUUUAUUGGUUGGCUUUCGGCCUGUUCUUCCUCUUCUGGGAUAUGGAUAGUCCUUGGAUCCACCAAUAACUGGGCGUGCAUAUGCUUCCCCCUUAUCAGGACUUCCCAAAUCAUUGUAGUAAGCAUAGUCAUAAACUCUAUCCCACUCCUUGAGCUCCCCUUUCCCGUCACCUCGGAGAUUGACAAGCUCUUCUUCUCUGUACUUUCGCAAUGGCUCUGGUGUUUGACAUGGUAGGUAGGUCUGAACAGAAGCAUGACAGAAGUUGUUUAGAUAAAAAUCUGAUCUUUUUUCUUUUCUUUUAUCAGAGUUUGAUGCUUAGAGUAAGAUUAACUCCACUCAUAUUAUUCUAACUCCAUAUUAUUCUAAAGUUAGCCGAUACCCCAAAAGUAGGAUUGAGACAGCCAAUUGAAAAAUAAAAGUCGGGAAGGAAUCAUGAUGCAAUCAAUGAUAAAAAAAUAAGUUGGAAAAAUGUUGCUGAUUUGGGAGUUCAUCGUCUAGAGUUCCAUUUCCUAUUCGUAAUGCAAAGCUGGUAUGCAUGCCCUUGCCUCAGUAGGAAAAAAAUUAUUACCUUGUUUGAGAAGAAAACGCGGUGAUAUUUGUAUCUAUGCACAGGAUAAACCCAUGAGUUGCAGACGAAAUGGACGCGGCCAUGUCCAGGGACGUGUUCCAACGUGAGCGUCUUGAGGUAAAACUGACUGUGGUGAUGGUUUCUAAUAAUGAAAGCGCCAGGAACGCCCAUAGUGGUGUGUUCCCAGUCGAAGGUAAUGGCGAAAGCAGUAUCUGUAGCUGUUACAGGUGUGAUCUUCUGAGUCCAUUUCUCCAAGAAUGCUGCUUUCCCAAUCUUCCCUCCCAGCCCAUUCGCUGAACACGUAAGUAGAGAGGGCAGGAAGUUUCCCACUGUCAGCUUACAUAACAAAGAAAAAGGCAAUAGCUUUCUUUGUUUUCAUUGAAGAAAGUUCCUUUCUUUUUUCUUUUGCAGUGCAAGUCAUUUAUUGGGCAUUGAUGAAAACAGAGAGAAAGAGAGGAAAAAGAGUUGACCUGGGUCUGGAAGGGAGCUAAUGAGGUGAAGAGAGACGCCUUUGCCGAGAAGCUCGUGAAUUCGAUCAAGAAAGGAAGCCUUGGCGUCGUUCAAAUCCAAGACGUUCUUUCUCAUCAACACUAGAGUUGCGUGGAUCUUCUUGUCGGAUUCCGGUGCUGCGCCUUUGGGAGUGGUUUUGGGGAGCAGGCAGCAGCUUCCCAUCUUCUUCUUUCGUGG